UACAGAGGUCCCAAGCGUUGUUCGGAUUCAUUGGGCGUAAAGGGUGCGUAGGCGGCGCGGUAAGUCGGGUGUGAAAUCUCCGGGCUUAACCCGGAAAGGUCAGCCGAUACUGCGGGGCUAGAGUGCAGAAGGGGCAACUGGAAUUCUCGGUGUAGCGGUGAAAUGCGUAGAUAUCGAGAGGAACACCUGCGGCGAAGGCGGGUUGCUGGGCUGACACUGACGCUGAGGCGCGAAAGCUAGGGAGCGAACGGG
This 252-nucleotide ribosomal RNA is filed under the name uncultured bacterium. RNAcentral describes it as "partial 16S ribosomal RNA". It matches the Rfam family "Bacterial small subunit ribosomal RNA", at positions 524 to 776 of the family's 1533-position model. The record is from RNAcentral.